RNAcentral lists this ribosomal RNA (333 nucleotides) under uncultured eukaryote. RNAcentral's name for it is "partial 18S ribosomal RNA". It matches the Rfam family "Eukaryotic small subunit ribosomal RNA", at positions 1470 to 1796 of the family's 1831-position model. The record is from RNAcentral.
CCCUUAGAUGUCCGGGGCCGCACGCGCGCUACACUGAAGGAAUCAGCGUGGCUUUCUCCCUGACCCGAAAGGGUUGGGAAACCCGUUGAAUCUCCUUCGUGAUAGGGAUUGGGGCUUGAAAUUGUUCCCCAUGAACGAGGAAUUCCCAGUAAGCGCGAGUCAUAAGCUCGCGUUGAUUACGUCCCUGCCCUUUGUACACACCGCCCGUCGCUACUACCGAUUGAACGGUUUAGUGAGAUCUCUGGAUUGACGCUGGCUAGGGGGCGACCCUUGGCCAGACUGCUCGAGAAACUGCUCAAACUUGAUCAUUUAGAGGAAGUAAAAGUCGUAACA